UGGGGAAUAUUGGACAAUGGGCGCAAGCCUGAUCCAGCAAUGCCGCGUGGGUGAAGAAGGUCUUCGGAUUGUAAAGCCCUUUCGGCGGGGACGAUGAUGACGGUACCCGCAGAAGAAGCCCCGGCUAACUUCGUGCCAGCAGCCGCGGUAAUACGAAGGGGGCUAGCGUUGCUCGGAAUGACUGGGCGUAAAGGGCGCGUAGGCGGUUCACACAGUCAGGCGUGAAAUUCCUGGGCUCAACCUGGGGGCUGCGCUUGAGACGUGUGGACUUGAGUGGGGAAGAGGCUCGUGGAAUUCCCAGUGUAGAGGUGAAAUUCGUAGAUAUUGGGAAGAACACCGGUGGCGAAGGCGGCGAGCUGGUCCUUUACCGACGCUGAGGCGCGAAAGCGUGGGGAGCAAACA
This 402-nucleotide ribosomal RNA is filed under the name uncultured bacterium. Its description in RNAcentral is "bacterial SSU rRNA". It matches the Rfam family "Bacterial small subunit ribosomal RNA", at positions 355 to 774 of the family's 1533-position model. The record is from RNAcentral.